GGUUCCCUCCGAAGUUUCCCUCAGGAUAGCUGGAGCCCACGUGCGAGUUCUAUCGGGUAAAGCCAAUGAUUAGAGGCAUCGGGGGCGCAACGCCCUCGACCUAUUCUCAAACUUUAAAUAGGUAGGACGGCGCGGCUGCUUCGUUGAGCCGCGUCAAGGAAUCGAGAGCUCCAAGUGGGCCAUUUUUGGGAAGCAGAACUGGCGAUGCGGGAUCAACCGAA
RNAcentral lists this ribosomal RNA (221 nucleotides) under uncultured eukaryote. RNAcentral's name for it is "partial Eukaryotic large subunit ribosomal RNA". It matches the Rfam family "Eukaryotic large subunit ribosomal RNA", at positions 953 to 1172 of the family's 3401-position model. The record is from RNAcentral.